Molecule: ribosomal RNA, 343 nt
Filed under: Aliarcobacter butzleri
Lineage: Bacteria; Pseudomonadati; Campylobacterota; Epsilonproteobacteria; Campylobacterales; Arcobacteraceae
Description: Arcobacter butzleri partial 23S ribosomal RNA
Rfam family: Bacterial large subunit ribosomal RNA
Source: RNAcentral
CCUAAGUCGAGUCCGAAAGGGGUAGACGAUGGCAAAUUGAUUAAUAUUUCAAUACCAACAUAUAAGCGCGAUGUGGGGACGCAUAGAGUUAAUCGAGGUCACUGAUGGAAUAGUGGCUCGAAGGACGUAGGCUGUUAAGUAGGCAAAUCCGCUUAACAUUAGGCCGAGAUCUUACAGGCUCUUGACACUCUUCGGAGGAGAUGGAGAAUCGAUGAUACUGUCGUGCCAAGAAAAGCCACUAAGUUUAUUAUAUGUUGCCCGUACCGUAAACCGACACAGGUGGGUGGGAUGAGUAUUCUAAGGCGCGUGGAAGAACCCUGGUUAAGGAACUCUGCAAACUACC